This 484-nucleotide ribosomal RNA is filed under the name uncultured bacterium. RNAcentral's name for it is "bacterial SSU rRNA". It matches the Rfam family "Bacterial small subunit ribosomal RNA", at positions 29 to 507 of the family's 1533-position model. The record is from RNAcentral.
AUUGAACGCUGGCGGCAUGCCUUACACAUGCAAGUCGAACGGUAACGCGGGGCAACCUGGCGACGAGUGGCGAACGGGUGAGUAAAGUAUCGGAACGUGCCCAAUAGUGGGGGAUAGCCCGGCGAAAGCCGGAUUAAUACCGCAUGAGACCUGAGGGUGAAAGCGGGGGACUCGCAAGAGCCUCGCGCUGUUGGAGCGGCCGAUAUCAGAUUAGGUAGUUGGUGGGGUAAAGGCCUACCAAGCCGACGAUCUGUAGCUGGUCUGAGAGGACGACCAGCCACACUGGGACUGAGACACGGCCCAGACUCCUACGGGAGGCAGCAGUGGGGAAUUUUGGACAAUGGGCGCAAGCCUGAUCCAGCCAUGCCGCGUGCGGGAAGAAGGCCUUCGGGUUGUAAACCGCUUUUGUCAGGGAAGAAAUCCUUUGAGCUAAUACCUCGGGGGGAUGACGGUACCUGAAGAAUAAGCACCGGCUAACUACGUG